RNAcentral lists this ribosomal RNA (468 nucleotides) under uncultured bacterium. Its description in RNAcentral is "partial 16S ribosomal RNA". It matches the Rfam family "Bacterial small subunit ribosomal RNA", at positions 28 to 507 of the family's 1533-position model. The record is from RNAcentral.
GACGAACGCUGGCGGCGUGCUUAACACAUGCAAGUCGAACGGAAAGGCCCUGCUUUUGUGGGGUGCUCGAGUGGCGAACGGGUGAGUAACACGUGAGUAACCUGCCCUUGACUUUGGGAUAACUUCAGGAAACUGGGGCUAAUACCGGAUAGGAUCUCCUGCUGCAUGGUGGGGGUUGGAAAGUUUCGGCGGUUGGGGAUGGACUCGCGGCGUAUCAGCUUGUUGGUGGGGUAGUGGCUUACCAAGGCUUUGACGGGUAGCCGGCCUGAGAGGGUGACCGGCCACAUUGGGACUGAGAUACGGCCCAGAAUGCUACGGGAGGCAGCAGUGGGGAAUAUUGCACAAUGGGCGGAAGCCUGAUGCAGCAACGCCGCGUGCGGGAUGACGGCCUUCGGGUUGUAAACCGCUUUCGCCUGUGACGAAGCGUGAGUGACGGUAAUGGGUAAAGAAGCACCGGCUAACUACGUG